GAUGAACGCUGGCGGCGUGCCUAAUACAUGCAAGUCGAGCGAACAGACGAGGAGCUUGCUCCUCUGACGUUAGCGGCGGACGGGUGAGUAACACGUGGAUAACCUACCUAUAAGACUGGGAUAACUUCGGGAAACCGGAGAUAAUACCGGAUAAUAUAUUGAACCGCAUGGUUCAAUAGUGAAAGACGGUUUUGCUGUCACUUAUAGAUGGAUCCGCGCCGCAUUAGCUAGUUGGUAAGGUAACGGGUUUCCAAGGCGACGAUGCGUAGCCGACCUGUGAGGGGGGUAGGCCCCCAUGGAACUUGACCAGGGUCCAUGCGCCUGAGGGACGGAGCAGUAGGGAAUGUGCCGCAAUAGGGGGAAACCUGGCGGAACAAGGCCGAGUGAGAUGUAGAAGUCCUGCGAGCGGGAAACUCUGUUAUUAGUGAAGAACAAAUGUGUAAGUAACUAUGCACGUCUUGACGGUACCUAAUCAGAAAGCCACGGCUAACUACGUG
This 497-nucleotide ribosomal RNA is filed under the name uncultured bacterium. RNAcentral's name for it is "partial 16S ribosomal RNA". It matches the Rfam family "Bacterial small subunit ribosomal RNA", at positions 28 to 507 of the family's 1533-position model. The record is from RNAcentral.